RNAcentral lists this long non-coding RNA (2378 nucleotides) under Lathyrus oleraceus (garden pea). RNAcentral's name for it is "Pisum sativum (pea) long non-coding RNA (PSAT_LNC031088)". The record is from RNAcentral. Lineage: Eukaryota; Viridiplantae; Streptophyta; Magnoliopsida; Fabales; Fabaceae.
GGAAAUUGAAUUUAAACUUGACGCGACAUCCCCAUGAAUACUCAUACUUCAUCUCCUUAUACCAGCAACGUGCCAGAGCUCACCACCGGUGGCGGUGGAGCAUCCAUACACGAAAUCAAAUACACAGCAACGAUCCAAACCUCAAGAUCAAUUCAAAUCCGCAAUCAGAAUCCACUAAAAAGCCUUCAAAUCUCCAAAUCGAAAGGAAUAAUGCAAGAACCCUAAAUAUUUCAACAACUCUUAAAUGGAGGAUAGCAAUAAUUAGAGCCCUAGAUGUUAGGGCUUUGAUUCGUCUCAGCAAAGGUUACAUUGUGGUAACUUACUUGAAGAAAAAUGAUGAAGAUUGAAAAUACACUCACAAAAACAGACACCGGAAAUUCCAGGUAAUCUCUCUGAAACUUUUCGUAUCUUCUUCUCCUUGCCUCUUCUUCUUCUUCUUCCUCAAUUUUCUCUUCUUCUUCACUUCUCUCUUCUUCUUCCACCUUCUGAGCUUGUGUGGAUGGUUUCUGAUAGAUUGCAGAGAGAGAAAGUUUGAGUGAUUUGUGAGUGAAAUUGUGAUUCCUCUGAGAUUCUGAGAUUGUUGAUGAUCCUCUGAAAUUGGUGAAGGAUGAAGGUACUUAUAAAGGCUGGAUUUAACAAAGAUCCAACUCUGUUAAAUCAUGAUAGCAUGAGUUAGUUGAAGAUCUCAGUUCCGUUACCUCACUCUGUUAGAAUUUAGUUAUAGGAUUCGAAAGUUAGUUAGAUGAAAUAUGAGAUGUUAAAUGAAAUAGUUAUUAGCUGUUAAAUUUCGAUUUUCAGUUAUUUAGGAUUAACGAACUGUUAGUUUAGCAGUUAAUUGAUUUGUUAGUUAGUAAUGAAAUUGGAGUUUAGUUUGUGUUAGGGAUUUGAGCUAUUAGUUUCUGAGUUUCAAUUUGAAUUAAUUAGGUGAUGGAAAAUGAACUUAACUAUGGAAUGUAGGAUUAUCAGUUUUAGCUAGUUUCAAAAUGGUGGUCCUUAGUUGAAUUUCCGUGUGCACUUAAUUUGAAUUUUCUUUUUACAAUGAUCGUGAUGCAGGUGCUUGCACUUGUAAAUUGGAUGAGUUUUUCAAUUUAUUACUGUUAGCAUAUUAGUUUGAAUCAAAACAAGCCAAGUCAGUAUGUUGCUUAUCUCUCAUGGCCAAUGCUAAGGUCCUGCUAUCCUUGUUUGUCUUCACAUGUGUUGUUAGUAAUCCUUGGCCACAGUUAAUUGAUCAAUUUGGAUUUAAACUUGCUUGGCAUUUAAUACUAAAUCCCAUCUAUCGACUGUUGCUACUGUUUGAACUGUUUUUUUUUUGCAUUUGGAAAUGAAGUUAAUGUUAGUAACCAAAUCUGGAAGUUAGUUAAAGAAAAUGAAAUGGGUUAGCUUAUUAGGACAAAUAGAAUUUAUGCAAUUAGUUUUAUUAGUGUUGGUUAAGUUAGCUGCUCAGUUGAGCAAAAUUCAUUGAGUUAAACCGGACCCAUCUAGCAUUCCACUUUUCCAUUUCCUGAAUUCCUUGUUACUGCAUGCUCUAACUUGGACUGCUAGGUAUGGAGGGUUUAUACCCAUGGUUUCCAGACUGCUCCGUGCAUUUGACCUUGGUGCUUGUAUUGUUUUGGUAUGUGAUUUAUUGUAUUGCAUGAUGGCAUUUGCUAGCAGGUCUUGACAUGGUUUUGUGAACUAAUCAUGAUGUGUUGCAGAUCUAUGGUAUGGUUAGGCUUUGCUCAUGUUUUGGACAUAGUUCUACAUAUGCUGCUUAUGGGUUCUGAUUUGUGGUUUAUGUCAUGUCUUGAUGUAGGGUUUGUAUAGUAUGCAUUGUUCUGACUUGGCCUUGAUGAUGGUAAGCUUUUGAUGGAUUACAUUGUAUGCUACUUGUGUUAUAUUAUGAUGCUUGGUUCAUUGCUUGACAUGAAGAUGCGAUGUUACCGCAUGUUGUUUGGAUAGCUUGGUUCAUAAUUGCUAUGCAUUAGUGGGAUUAGGCAUGAUGGCAAGAUGGAAUAAGGCAACAACCUAAGCAUGACUAGGCCAACCAACCAAGUUCAAAACAUAUUGAUCACAACAUGGAAAAACCAAGUUCACAUAACCACCUCAAGAAUAAGAAUGUUGGAUGCAAAUAGAGCUAAGACUAGUCAUUUAGUUAUUAGGGAUGCAAAAUGCCAUAGGUUGACUUUGGUCAAAGUUAACCAAAAAGUCAACUAUUGACCAAAGUCAUCCAUUAGUCAACAUGUGAUUUUUCUUGAAUUUCUUGAUAUGUAAUGAACAUUUUUGUGUGCUAAUGAAUGAAAUUGGCCAUUUUGAAUGAAAAAAUGAAUGAAUUGAACAUAUGAGCAUGUUUCUUGAUUUUGACUUUGAAUAAACAUGAUUUGUAAUGAAAUGGAUUUAAG